This 62-nucleotide transfer RNA is filed under the name Watasenia scintillans (sparkling enope). RNAcentral describes it as "tRNA-Ser". The record is from RNAcentral. Lineage: Eukaryota; Metazoa; Mollusca; Cephalopoda; Oegopsida; Enoploteuthidae.
GUUUUUACUGGGUAAAUGAAGUUUUGAAAACUUUUUAGAAGUGUUCGAUUCACUUAAAAUCU